RNA transcript from Panicum virgatum (switchgrass), 3111 nucleotides. It is a transcript of the gene named DNA repair protein RAD16-like, with no coding region annotated. Lineage: Eukaryota; Viridiplantae; Streptophyta; Magnoliopsida; Poales; Poaceae. The record is from RefSeq and is a predicted model, not a curated record. The transcript has 15 exons.
GUGGACGUGGAACACGAGCACCUCGCAGGCUGCUGCCUGACUCAUGGAUGGAGAGCCCGAGGCGAGCUACCGGCGCCUCCUUCCGGAGCACACUUCCCCGCUGAGUCGCCGACCGGGUCGACUCCUUCCCCUGCAAGUUCCCGCCAAUUCGCCUCCCUCCAAAACCUAAUCUGACAAUUCCCCAAGUCAUACAAAUGCCCCCACCCAUCACCCCUCCAAUUCCCCUCCCCGCGACUCCUAACCACCCAGGGUUUUUCCUCCCGCGCCGCCAUGCCGCGCGGAGCCGGGGACCCCUCCUCCGGAUCCAGCCGCGGCCAGCGGCGCCGCCGCGACGAGGAGGAGGACGAGGACGAGCUCCCCUCCGACAGCACCUCCGACUCCGACUUCGUCGCCCAUUCCGAGGACGAGGUGGGAGACGACGACGACGACGAGGGGUUCGUGCCCGAUGAGGACGCGCCGCCCGCGCCGGCGCCCGCGAUGGCUGCGCCGCCGCCUCCGCCGCCGGUGCUGAACCGGACGCGGAACCGGGAUGGGAGGAGGAGGAGGAGGGGGAAGAAGGCGAGGGACGAGGAUCUGCUGCCUCUGCCGUGGCAGGUGUGGGAGACGGCCAACGAAAGGUGGCUCGACGAGCGGGGGAAGGACGGCGGCCACGGUGAGGUCCCGGACGACGCCGGGGCCGCGGCGGCCGUGCCCACCGCGGACCCGGCCCCGGAGGUGGUCCUCCCGCUCCUGCGCUUCCAGAAGGAGUGGCUCGCGUGGGCGCUGGCGCAGGAGGCCUCCGUCUCGCGGGGCGGCAUCCUCGCCGACGAGAUGGGGAUGGGGAAGACCAUCCAGGCCAUAUCGCUCGUCCUCACCGCGCGCCGCCUCCGGCCCCCGGGCCACCACCACUCCGCGGCAGCAUCAUCCUCAUCCUCAUCCUCGGCGGGGCAUCCGAUGCGCCGGGUCGGGUGCCCGCUGGUCGUCUGCCCGGUUGUGGCCGUCAUCCAGUGGACCGAGGAGAUUGAGCGGCACACCGCCAGUGGCAGAGCGCGCGUGCUAAUCUACCACGGCGCCAAGCGGGGCACGCACAAGUUCGACUUCAACAACUACGACUUCGUCGUCACCACCUACUCCACCAUUCAGGCGGACUACCGGAAGCACAUCAUGCCACCCAAGAUCCGGUGCCAAUACUGCAACAAAUUGUUUUACCCCAACAACCUGAAGGUGCACUUGAAGUAUUUUUGUGGGCCUGAUGCCGUGCGAACUGAGAAGCAGGCGAAGCAGGAGAGCAAGAAGUGGGGCGGCAGCAGGGGGAAGGGAAAGAGAAAGGAUCAUAAGAAGGAUGGUGAUGAGGAGAUUGCGGAUUUUGAUGAAUUGGCUGAUGAACUGGUCAGACAGUCAAGGGGUCAGUCACCUCUGCACUCUGUGCGGUGGGAGCGGAUCAUCUUGGAUGAGGCUCACUUCAUAAAAGAUAGACGGUGUAAUACUGCAAGGGCUAUUUUUGCAUUGGAGUCAGAAUACAAGUGGGCUCUGAGUGGGACACCUUUGCAGAACCGCGUUGGAGAACUUUACUCACUUAUUCGCUUCUUGCAAAUCUUCCCCUAUUCAAACUAUUUCUGCAAGGACUGUAACUGUGAGAUACUAGAUACCAGUAUGAAGAAGCAGUGCGACUGUGGUCACUCAUCUGUUAGGCACUUCUGCUGGUGGAAUAAGUACAUAGCAAGGGCAAUACAGUCAGGUUCAGCAAGUGAUGAAGGCAAAAGAGCCAUGAUGCUUCUGAAGGAGAAAGUUCUGAAAGGCAUAGUAUUAAGGCGCACCAAAAAAGGCCGGGCUGCAGAUCUUGCUAUUCCACCAAAGAUUGUGACUUUGAGGCGGGACUCUUUUGAUAAAAACGAAAUGGAAUUCUAUGAAGCUUUGUAUACUCAAAGCGUCACACAGUUUGAUUCAUAUGUAGUUGCUGGAACACUGAUGAACAACUAUGCUCAUAUCUUCGAUCUUCUCACGAGGUUGAGACAGGCUGUUGAUCAUCCCUACCUUGUAGCAUAUUCUAAGACAGCAGGACCUCGUGAAGCAUUUAAAAAUGAAGGAAAUGAGUCCAUGGAAAGCCAAUGUGGUAUAUGUCAUAGUGUGGCUGAAGAUGUUGUGGUUACCUCUUGCGAUCAUGCAUUCUGCAAGACUUGUUUGAUGGACUACUCUGCAACUUUGGGGAACGUUUCAUGUCCAUCCUGUUCAGUACCUCUUACUGUUGACUUAACAACAAAAGGUUCAGUUGAAAAGGUAACUCGUAGUGUCAAGGCAAACGCUCUGGAAUACUGAGCAGACUACCGAGCCUUGAGGAUUUUAAGACGAGUACAAAAAUUGAUGCCUUGAGAGAGGAGGUACGAAACAUGAUUGAGCGUGAUGGCUCUGCCAAAGGGAUUGUGUUCAGCCAGUUCACAUCAUUCUCGGAUCUGAUUCAAUUCUCCUUGGAGAAGUCCGGCAUCAAGUGUGUCCAGCUGAAUGGGGCCAUGAACAUCACCGAGAAGGGAAGAGCCAUAGACACCUUCACCAAUGACCCAGACUGCAGGAUCUUCCUGAUGAGCCUGAAAGCUGGAGGAGUAGCUCUGAAUCUCACUGUUGCAUCUCAUGUUUUCCUGAUGGACCCUUGGUGGAAUCCAGCAGUGGAAAGCCAAGCCCAGGAUCGCAUCCACCGAAUUGGACAGUUCAAGCCAAUCAAGAGCACGAGGUUUGUGAUCAAGGACACCGUAGAAGAGCGCAUACUGCAACUGCAACAGAAGAAGCAGCUGGUGUUCGAAGGCACCGUGGGCGACUCGCCGGAUGCCAUGUCGAAGCUUACGGAGGCAGACCUCAAGUUUCUGUUCCAGAUCUAACUGCUGCUGGACAUGAGUAGCGUAGCGUACCCUAGGAGCGCCGACGUGCUGGAACCCUGAGACCAUCAAAUGUUAGCAUAGCUUGUCGACUCUCAAACUUCAGUGUAACUGACAAUGAUUAGGAAGCCAUCCCUAGGCAGGCCAGAGUACCCUUGAGUUUUGGAACCUGGGCGAUGGUAGUAGUAUCCCUGCUCAUUGCGCGUGCAAGUGGAACGCGCUUGGAGCAGCCGUUUGGGAAAGAAGAGGGUGUUAUUUGGCGUGA